RNAcentral lists this ribosomal RNA (253 nucleotides) under uncultured bacterium. RNAcentral describes it as "partial 16S ribosomal RNA". It matches the Rfam family "Bacterial small subunit ribosomal RNA", at positions 524 to 776 of the family's 1533-position model. The record is from RNAcentral.
UACGAAGGGGGCUAGCGUUGUUCGGAAUUACUGGGCGUAAAGCGCGCGCAGGCGGUCCUUUAAGUCGGGGGUGAAAGCCCAGAGCUCAACUCUGGAACUGCCUUCGAAACUAGAGGACUUGGGUACGGGAGAGGUGAGUGGAAUUCCGAGUGUAGAGGUGAAAUUCGUAGAUAUUCGGAAGAACACCAGUGGCGAAGGCGACUUACUGGACACAUAUUGACGCUGAGGUGCGAAAGCGUGGGGAGCAAACAGG